RNAcentral lists this non-coding RNA (178 nucleotides) under Clostridium botulinum. Lineage: Bacteria; Bacillati; Bacillota; Clostridia; Eubacteriales; Clostridiaceae. The record is from RNAcentral.
GAAAAUUAAACUGUAUAAGGUGUUUUAUUGACUUAAUAGAGAAUUGGGUGAAAAUCCCAAACUAUCCCAGUAACCGUGAAACUGACGAAAUUCUUAAAUAUACCACUGUAAAAUCCGGGAAGGUGAGAAAAGUAGGAUGAAGUAAAGUCGGGAGACCUGCCAUAUAUGGAAUUUAUAU